Molecule: ribosomal RNA, 287 nt
Filed under: uncultured bacterium
Lineage: Bacteria
Description: partial 16S ribosomal RNA
Rfam family: Bacterial small subunit ribosomal RNA
Source: RNAcentral
GGAUUAGAUACCCUGGUAGUCCACGCUGUAAACGAUGGUCACUAGCUGUUCGGAUUUCGGUCUGAGUGGCUAAGCGAAAGUGAUAAGUGACCCACCUGGGGAGUACGUUCGCAAGAAUGAAACUCAAAGGAAUUGACGGGGGCCCGCACAAGCGGUGGAGCAUGUGGUUUAAUUCGAUGAUACGCGAGGAACCUUACCAAGGCUUAAAUGCAAUACGGAUAGUUUAGAGAUAGACUAGUCUUCGGACGGAUUGCAAGGUGCUGCAUGGUUGUCGUCAGCUCGUGCCG